This 227-nucleotide ribosomal RNA is filed under the name Salmonella enterica subsp. enterica serovar Kentucky. RNAcentral's name for it is "partial 23S ribosomal RNA". It matches the Rfam family "Bacterial large subunit ribosomal RNA", at positions 681 to 907 of the family's 2925-position model. The record is from RNAcentral. Lineage: Bacteria; Pseudomonadati; Pseudomonadota; Gammaproteobacteria; Enterobacterales; Enterobacteriaceae.
GUCUUAACCGGGCGUUAAGUUGCAGGGUAUAGACCCGAAACCCGGUGAUCUAGCCAUGGGCAGGUUGAAGGUUGGGUAACACUAACUGGAGGACCGAACCGACUAAUGUUGAAAAAUUAGCGGAUGACCUGUGGCUGGGGGUGAAAGGCCAAUCAAACCGGGAGAUAGCUGGUUCUCCCCGAAAGCUAUUUAGGUAGCGCCUCGUGAAUUCAUCUCCGGGGGUAGAG